This 426-nucleotide ribosomal RNA is filed under the name uncultured bacterium. Its description in RNAcentral is "bacterial SSU rRNA". It matches the Rfam family "Bacterial small subunit ribosomal RNA", at positions 355 to 772 of the family's 1533-position model. The record is from RNAcentral.
UGGGGAAUCUUGCGCAAUGGGCGCAAGCCUGACGACGCAACGCCGCGUGGAGGAUGAAGACCUUCGGGUCGUAAACUCCUUUCGACCGAGAUGAACACUCACCGACCUAACACGUUGGUGAGCUGACAGUACCGAGGGAAGAAGCCCCGGCUAACUCCGUGCCAGCAGCCGCGGUAAUACGGGGGGGGCAAGCGUUGUUCGGAAUUACUGGGCGUAAAGGGUUCGUAGGUGGCCAACUAAGUCAGACGUGAAAUCCCUCAGCUUAACUGGGGAACUGCGUCUGAUACUGGUUGGCUUGAGUGCAGGAGAGGAACGCGGAAUUCCAGGUGUAGCGGUGAAAUGCGUAGAUAUCUGGAGGAACACCGGUGGCGAAGGCGGCGUUCUGGACUGCAACUGACACUGAGGAACGAAAGCCAGGGGAGCAAA